Salvelinus sp. IW2-2015 is the source of this 568-nucleotide non-coding RNA. The record is from RefSeq and is a predicted model, not a curated record. Lineage: Eukaryota; Metazoa; Chordata; Actinopteri; Salmoniformes; Salmonidae.
CAGCUGAGUAAAAGCGGGGUUGUGAUGGAGACGUGAAUGAGGUUCAGUUCUGAAGCGUCUCUGCGGUUUGUGUUGUUGCAUUUAACAGUGUGCUUUGUAGCCUAAUAGCAAGUUUACCCAGGAUCGGAUCCACUCUUUGCGUCCGUGGACUACACCUCUCCGUUGUUCUUCGUGGCCUUUCUCCGCUGGAGAUCUGACGGAUUGUCUGACUGACCGACUGACUACAACCUUUUUGUGAGGAGGCCUUCGUACUGAUCGACUCACCAGAAAACACACAGAGUGACAAGGAGGAUCGUGAUGGCUGCAGCCGAGGAGAGACAGACGAUGAAGACAAUCACUGCACAAACACACAGGAGAAAGACAUCAGACCCAGGUGAUCCACCACACAGGUGACAUUCUGACCAGAGAACAUGGAAGUGGGGAACCUCAACACACUACGGACCCUCACCGUCAGAGCCAUUAUCACAGCAGUUCCUUCAUGAGUCUGGGCGUUUCCAUGAGGCGUCUGUGAUGUCAUUCUGUCCCAGGUACUGACAGCGGAGGAAGACAUCCUCUCCAAGGAUCCCAG